GCAUCCGUGGUCCAAUGGCAAGACUUCAGCUUCCCAAGCUGACUAUCCGGGUUCGAAUCCCGGCGGGUGCA
RNAcentral lists this transfer RNA (71 nucleotides) under archaeon GW2011_AR5. RNAcentral's name for it is "tRNA-Gly". It matches the Rfam family "tRNA". Rfam says of the family: Transfer RNA (tRNA) molecules are approximately 80 nucleotides in length. Their secondary structure includes four short double-helical elements and three loops (D, anti-codon, and T loops). Further hydrogen bonds mediate the characteristic L-shaped molecular structure. tRNAs have two regions of fundamental functional importance: the anti-codon, which is responsible for specific mRNA codon recognition, and the 3' end, to which the tRNAs corresponding amino acid is attached (by aminoacyl-tRNA synthetases). tRNAs cope with the degeneracy of the genetic code in two manners: having more than one tRNA (with a specific anti-codon) for a particular amino acid; and 'wobble' base-pairing, i.e. permitting non-standard base-pairing at the 3rd anti-codon position. The record is from RNAcentral.